Molecule: ribosomal RNA, 432 nt
Filed under: uncultured bacterium
Lineage: Bacteria
Description: partial 16S ribosomal RNA
Rfam family: Bacterial small subunit ribosomal RNA
Source: RNAcentral
AACGAACGCUGGCGGCAUGCCUAACACAUGCAAGUCGAACGAGACCGCCCGGUCUAGGGGCGCACGUGUGCGUAACGCGUGGGAACCUGCCCGUAGGUUCGGUAUAACUCACCUAAAGGGGUGCUAAGACCGGAUAAGGUCUUCGCACCUAGGAGCUAGGGCUGCUGGAUGGGCCCGAGUUGGAUUAGCUGGUUGGGAGGGUAAAAGCCUACUAAGGCGACGAUCCAUGGCUGGUCGGUGAGGAUGCUCAGCCACACUGGGACGGGGACAAGGCCCAGACUCGUGCGGGAGGCAGGAGAGGGGGAUAUUGGACAAGGGGCGAGAGCCUGAUCCAGCACGGCCGGGUGAGUGAUGAAGGCGUUAGAGUUGUAAAGCUCUUUUACCCGGGAGGGUAAUGACGGUACCGGUAGAAUAAGCCCCGGCUACCUCCGU